RNAcentral lists this ribosomal RNA (253 nucleotides) under uncultured bacterium. Its description in RNAcentral is "partial 16S ribosomal RNA". It matches the Rfam family "Bacterial small subunit ribosomal RNA", at positions 524 to 776 of the family's 1533-position model. The record is from RNAcentral.
UACGAAGGGAGCUAGCGUUGUUCGGAAUCACUGGGCGUAAAGCGCACGUAGGCGGAUGUGUCAGUCAGGGGUGAAAUCCCGGAGCUCAACUUCGGAACUGCCUUUGAUACAGCACGUCUUGAGUCCGGAAGAGGUGGGUGGAAUUCCUAGUGUAGAGGUGAAAUUCGCAGAUAUCAGGAGGAACACCCGUGGCGAAAGCGGCUCUCUGGGACGGUACUGACGCUGAGACGCGAAAGCGUGGGGAGCAAACAGG